UUCCUUUUGGUAAAAUCAAAGUUAAGCGACUCUUGUCUAGCCGACUGUCCCCAUUUUCCAGUUCGUGGAUCGAAUCUUCCAGAAAGGUUUAAUCCAUCCUCUUGGUGCAGGCCUGAUCUUGGACAACGUUAGCGUCAGAUGUACUUGUAUCUCCACUCAUUUUUGGUUUAACUAUUGAUAUAAAGCAAUGAUUAUGCUUCCA
This is a non-coding RNA of Paramuricea clavata, 202 nucleotides long. Lineage: Eukaryota; Metazoa; Cnidaria; Anthozoa; Malacalcyonacea; Plexauridae. The record is from the annotation of a GenBank genome assembly.